Non-coding RNA from Paramuricea clavata, 454 nucleotides. Lineage: Eukaryota; Metazoa; Cnidaria; Anthozoa; Malacalcyonacea; Plexauridae. The record is from the annotation of a GenBank genome assembly.
UUUUGUCCAUCUCGCUUUACUUCAGUUGCCCAUGGAAACUCUUUUUUCUAAGAGUCAACGAACUGUCACGAUCGUUUUUUAAUAUCGUACUCUUUAUUUUUCUGAGUAGAUGUUUUCUGAGAUGAAUUUGAUGCAGAUGAUUUGCCAGCUUGAGCCAAUGUCGUCGAACAGCCUUUAAAAUUGGUUAGAUAUCUAUCCACUGUCCAUUGCAAUAGUAAAUUUUUUACUGUUUGUUUUGUGACAAUAUUUACGACAAUUCCUUUACAUGAAGUGCUUCGUAACGCCUUACGGUUAGUGGAACUGUGGGCGCACAUUUGAAAAACCACAUGCAUGAAAAUUACGAAAACGGCUUUUACUUGAAUCGAAAUCGAUGAAUAUAAAAGAUAUUUUAUUAAAUCAGUGACAGAGUUCAUUGUUUCGUUGUGAAUAUUUGUGUAAAUGAGAAUCCAGGUAA